GCAAGUCGAACGCUCACCUUCGGGUGGGAGUGGCAGACGGGUGAGUAACACGUGGGAACGUACCCUUUGGUUCGGGACAACUCUGGGAAACUGGAGCUAAUACCGGAUACGCCCUUUUGGGGAAAGGUUUACUGCCGAAGGAUCGGCCCGCGUCUGAUUAGCUAGUUGGUGGGGUAACGGCCUACCAAGGCGACGAUCAGUAGCUGGUCUGAGAGGAUGAUCAGCCACACUGGGACUGAGACACGGCCCAGACUCCUACGGGAGGCAGCAGUGGGGAAUAUUGGACAAUGGGCGCAAGCCUGAUCCAGCCAUGCCGCGUGAGUGAUGAAGGCCCUAGGGUUGUAAAGCUCUUUUAUCCGGGACGAUAAUGACGGUACCGGAGGAAUAAGCCCCGGCUAACUUCGUGCCAGCAGCCGCGGUAAUACGAAGGGGGCUAGCGUUGCUCGGAAUCACUGGGCGUAAAGGGCGCGUAGGCGGCGUUUUAAGUCGGGGGUGAAAGCCUGUGGCUCAACCACAGAAUGGCCUUCGAUACUGGGACGCUUGAGUCUGGUAGAGGUUGGUGGAACUGCGAGUGUAG
Molecule: ribosomal RNA, 577 nt
Filed under: uncultured bacterium
Lineage: Bacteria
Description: bacterial SSU rRNA
Rfam family: Bacterial small subunit ribosomal RNA
Source: RNAcentral